Molecule: long non-coding RNA, 478 nt
Filed under: Dromaius novaehollandiae (emu)
Lineage: Eukaryota; Metazoa; Chordata; Aves; Casuariiformes; Dromaiidae
Description: lncRNA (ENSDNVG00000004964.1)
Source: RNAcentral
GACUUCAAGAACUUGCUCAUGCUCAUGAUACCGUAUGAGAUGUCUCAUGCUAUAAACCUGAGAUGUUACAACUUGAAGAUUUUCAGUAGUGCAUUAAAGACAAACUAGAUGAACAUGAUGCUACUGUAGCCACUUGCUAUCCAAAACAGUUUUGCAGUAAGGAUUCAUACAGGUACUCUUUUAUGAAUAGAGACAUUUAUUUGGAUUCAUUCGAUUCUACCAUACUACCAGUGAUUCAUGCUAUCCGAAGGCACUCCCAAAGCGACCACUCAGCAGGACUGAAUGAAUUAGAGGCUAUCACACUGUGUGCAGUCACUGACAUGAUCGCAAUGCCGUACUCCUUGGGACAGACUGACGCUCUUCGCAGGAUACUAAGAGGAGGCAACGUUUUCCUGUGAGAAAUCCACAUGGGAAGAAUUGGUAAUCUCAGAUGGUCUGAAGCAAGUGUCUACACAUACCUCAUAAAGGAUAAUUUCAU